UGGUUUACCAGACCCGGAAGGCGCGGGCCUUAGUGGCGGACGGGUGAGUAACGCGUGGGGAACCUGCCCCGUACCGGGGGAUAACACCUGGAAACAGGUGCUAAUACCGCAUAACAGAAGGGGACGCAUGGUUUCUUUCUUGAAAACUCCGGUGGUACGGGAUGGACCCGCGUCUGAUUAGCUGGUUGGCGGGGUAACGGCCCACCAAGGCGACGAUCAGUAGCCGGCCUGAGAGGGCGGACGGCCACAUUGGGACUGAGACACGGCCCAAACUCCUACGGAAGGCAGCAG
Molecule: ribosomal RNA, 291 nt
Filed under: uncultured bacterium
Lineage: Bacteria
Description: partial 16S ribosomal RNA
Rfam family: Bacterial small subunit ribosomal RNA
Source: RNAcentral